CUUUUUCCUAUGCAUAUACUUCUUUGAGAAUUGCUUCUAAAGAGGUAUAGGGCAUGGGAAAAUGGGGCA
This is a microRNA precursor of Malurus cyaneus samueli, 69 nucleotides long. The record is from Ensembl. Lineage: Eukaryota; Metazoa; Chordata; Aves; Passeriformes; Maluridae.